This 376-nucleotide ribosomal RNA is filed under the name uncultured organism. Its description in RNAcentral is "partial 16S ribosomal RNA". It matches the Rfam family "Bacterial small subunit ribosomal RNA", at positions 526 to 896 of the family's 1533-position model. The record is from RNAcentral.
GGAGGGGGGUUAGCGUUGUUCGGAAUUACUGGGCGUAAAGCGCACGUAGGCGGACUGGGAAAGUUGGGGGGGGUGAAAUCCCAGGGGCUCAACCCUGGGAACUGCCUCCAAAACUAUCAGUCUAGAGUUCGAGAGAGGUGAGUGGAAUUCCGAGUGUAGAGGUGAAAUUCGUAGAUAUUCGGAGGAACACCAGUGGCGAAGGCGGCUCACUGGCUCGAUACUGACGCUGAGGUGCGAAAGUGUGGGGAGCAAACAGGAUUAGAUACCCUGGUAGUCCACACCGUAAACGAUGAAUGCCAGUCGUCGGGUAGCAUGCUAUUCGGUGACACACCUAACGGAUUAAGCAUUCCGCCUGGGGAGUACGGUCGCAAGAUUA